RNAcentral lists this ribosomal RNA (496 nucleotides) under uncultured bacterium. RNAcentral's name for it is "partial 16S ribosomal RNA". It matches the Rfam family "Bacterial small subunit ribosomal RNA", at positions 29 to 507 of the family's 1533-position model. The record is from RNAcentral.
AUGAACGCUGGCGGCGUGCCUAAUACAUGCAAGUCGAGCGAACAGAUGAGGAGCUUGCUCCUCUGACGUUAGCGGCGGACGGGUGAGUAACACGUGGAUAACCUACCUAUAAGACUGGGAUAACUUCGGGAAACCGGAGCUAAUACCGGAUAAUAUAUUGAACCGCAUGGUUCAAUAGUGAAAGACGGUUUUGCUGUCACUUAUAGAUGGAUCCGCGCCGCAUUAGCUAGUUGGUAAGGUAACGGCUUACCAAGGCAACGAUGCGUAGCCGACCUGAGAGGGUGAUCGGCCACACUGGAACUGAGACACGGUCCAGACUCCUACGGGAGGCAGCAGUAGGGAAUCUUCCGCAAUGGGCGAAAGCCUGACGGAGCAACGCCGCGUGAGUGAUGAAGGUCCUCGGAUCGUAAAACUCUGUUAUUAGGGAAGAACAAAUGUGUAAGUAACUAUGCACGUCUUGACGGUACCUAAUCAGAAAGCCACGGCUAACUACGUG